This 49-nucleotide transfer RNA is filed under the name Tetranychus truncatus. Its description in RNAcentral is "tRNA-Val". The record is from RNAcentral. Lineage: Eukaryota; Metazoa; Arthropoda; Arachnida; Trombidiformes; Tetranychidae.
ACUCUAAUUAAAGUUUAAAUAAAAUUUACAAUUUUAAUUUUAUUAGAAA